AAACAGGAAUGCGUUUUUGCAUUAGAAUUUAAGUUUCUAUUUUGAGUGUUCUCUCUUGUUUU
RNAcentral lists this transfer RNA (62 nucleotides) under Walchia hayashii. RNAcentral's name for it is "tRNA-Leu". Lineage: Eukaryota; Metazoa; Arthropoda; Arachnida; Trombidiformes; Trombiculidae. The record is from RNAcentral.